RNAcentral lists this ribosomal RNA (305 nucleotides) under uncultured bacterium. Its description in RNAcentral is "bacterial SSU rRNA". It matches the Rfam family "Bacterial small subunit ribosomal RNA", at positions 338 to 640 of the family's 1533-position model. The record is from RNAcentral.
CCUACGGGAGGCAGCAGUGAGGAAUAUUGGUCAAUGGCCGCAGGGCUGAACCAGCCAAGUCGCGUGAGGGAUGACGGUCCUAUGGAUUGUAAACUUCUUUUAUAAAGGAAUAAAACGAGGCACGUGUGCCUUUUUGCAUGUACUUUAUGAAUAAGGAUCGGCUAACUCCGUGCCAGCAGCCGCGGUAAUACGGAGGAUCCGAGCGUUAUCCGGAUUUAUUGGGUUUAAAGGGAGCGUAGAUGGGUUGUUAAGUCAGUUGUGAAAGUUUGCGGCGCAACCGAAAAAUGGCAAUUGAUACUGGCAGU